Molecule: transfer RNA, 75 nt
Filed under: Alienimonas chondri
Lineage: Bacteria; Pseudomonadati; Planctomycetota; Planctomycetia; Planctomycetales; Planctomycetaceae
Description: tRNA-Pro
Rfam family: tRNA
About the family: Transfer RNA (tRNA) molecules are approximately 80 nucleotides in length. Their secondary structure includes four short double-helical elements and three loops (D, anti-codon, and T loops). Further hydrogen bonds mediate the characteristic L-shaped molecular structure. tRNAs have two regions of fundamental functional importance: the anti-codon, which is responsible for specific mRNA codon recognition, and the 3' end, to which the tRNAs corresponding amino acid is attached (by aminoacyl-tRNA synthetases). tRNAs cope with the degeneracy of the genetic code in two manners: having more than one tRNA (with a specific anti-codon) for a particular amino acid; and 'wobble' base-pairing, i.e. permitting non-standard base-pairing at the 3rd anti-codon position.
Source: RNAcentral
CGGGAUGUGGCGCAGCCUGGUAGCGCGCUUGACUGGGGGUCAAGAGGUCGCAGGUUCGAAUCCUGUCAUCCCGAC